AAAAUUUUAAAAGUCGAACAGACUUAGCUUAUUAGUCCCUUCACCAAAAGCCAAUUUUAAUCCAACAUCGAGGUCGCAAUCUAAUCUAUCGAUUUGAACUCUCCAGAUUAAUAACG
This 116-nucleotide ribosomal RNA is filed under the name Lucanus maculifemoratus taiwanus. RNAcentral describes it as "partial 16S ribosomal RNA". Lineage: Eukaryota; Metazoa; Arthropoda; Insecta; Coleoptera; Lucanidae. The record is from RNAcentral.